CCGGCGACCGGCGCACGGGUGAGUAACACGUAUGGAACCUGCCCGCAGCAGGGGGAUAAGCGGAAGAAAUUCCGUCUAAUACCGCGUAACAACGUUGGGAGGCAUCUCCCGAUGUUUAAAGAUUUAUCGGCUGCGGAUGGCCAUGCGGCGCAUUAGCUAGUCGGCGGGGUAACGGCCCACCGAGGCGACGAUGCGUAGGGGUUCUGAGAGGAAGGUCCCCCACGCUGGUACUGAGACACGGACCAGACUCCUACGGGAGGCAGCAG
RNAcentral lists this ribosomal RNA (266 nucleotides) under uncultured bacterium. Its description in RNAcentral is "partial 16S ribosomal RNA". It matches the Rfam family "Bacterial small subunit ribosomal RNA", at positions 88 to 354 of the family's 1533-position model. The record is from RNAcentral.